UACAUGGGGUGCAAACGUUGCUCGGAAUUAUUGGGCGUAAAGCGCACGUAGGUGGUCUGUUAUGUCAGAUGUGAAAGCCCUCGGCUUAACUGGGGAACUGCGUCUGAGACUGGCAAGCUUGAGUGCAGGAGAGGAACGCGGAAUUCCAGGUGUAGCGGUGAAAUGCGUAGAUAUCUAGAGGAACACCCGUGGCGAAGGCGGUUCUCUGGGACGGUACUGACGCUGAGACGCGAAAGCGUGGGGAGCGAACAGG
This 253-nucleotide ribosomal RNA is filed under the name uncultured bacterium. Its description in RNAcentral is "partial 16S ribosomal RNA". It matches the Rfam family "Bacterial small subunit ribosomal RNA", at positions 524 to 776 of the family's 1533-position model. The record is from RNAcentral.